Molecule: ribosomal RNA, 451 nt
Filed under: uncultured bacterium
Lineage: Bacteria
Description: partial 16S ribosomal RNA
Rfam family: Bacterial small subunit ribosomal RNA
Source: RNAcentral
GUGGGGAAUAUUGCGCAAUGGGGGAAACCCUGACGCAGCGACGCCGUGUGAGGGAAGAAGGCUUUCGGGUCGUAAACCUCUGUCAGAAAGGAAGAACCUCCCAUAUCCGAAUAGGGUGUGGGACUGACGGUACUUUCAAAGGAAGCACCGGCUAACUCCGUGCCAGCAGCCGCGGUAAUACGGAGGGUGCAAGCGUUAAUCGGAAUCACUGGGCGUAAAGCGCGCGUAGGCCGCUUUGUAAGUCGGACGUGAAAGCCCUCGGCUCAACCGGGGAACUGCGUUCGAUACUGCGAGGCUUGAGUCCUGGAGAGGGUGGCGGAAUUCCGGGUGUAGGAGUGAAAUCCGUAGAUAUCCGGAGGAACACCGGUGGCGAAGGCGGCCACCUGGACAGGUACUGACGCUGAGGCGCGAAAGCGUGGGGAGCAAACAGGAUUAGAUACCCGAGUAGUCC